GGUUACCGUCAGAUUUCCGUGGGAGUGUGCAGAAUCAGUCCCACGGAUCGAUCAAGGUUUUACGUUACCGAUCGCGGCCACUCGAGAAAGGAGCAAUCGUCCUUCUCUUUCUCUAGUUUCGUGCCUUUUUGCUGUCACCUUUAUCGUGCCUAUUGUCCACCGAUAGCUUCUGAUAAGAUCUGCUCGCUCGCCGAGGUCUUUCAAACCUCAUGAUUCUUUUGUUUUUCGUAAGCAAUUUGCGCAACUUUCGUGGGUAGCUGUCAAAGGGGUUAUACGUUCCACGGCGCGCAGAAUUUUAUAAAAUUUCUAAAAAAUGGAAAUUCUGUUCAUACAGAAAUCGCUGUAGCGAGAGAUAGAUAGAGACAGAGAGAGAGGUGGGUAGAGACGGCGAAUCUAUUUAAAAUAAUCGAUAAUAGCUCGUAACUAACAUAGAACGUGAAUAUAAAGUGGCGCUUUGAUGUUUCUGUUACUUUAAAUUCCACGAUGAAAUAUCGGCGGCUCUCGAAGGCGGAUCUUCGUGGCUCGAACCUUUCGCAAAAACGUCUCAGAAAAUGUAUGCCACUUACAUCUGUUACGUCCGAUCUUGUUUUUGUCGAACUACAGCCAGUGUAAGGAAAAAAGGACGAUCGAGGGAGAAAAGGACAAGGUUACGUUCGUUAUAAGGCGAUCUAGAAGCGAAAGAAUCGAGAUCUUAUCUGCACGUUGCUCAAUCUAAAAAUUGUUGCCCGAGGGUGGCCGGAAACCGGAGCAGGUUUCGUAAACGAAGGUCAAAUAUUCGAGCAGCUAUUCUUUCUCCGUGGUUCGUUUGAAUGUUUGAUUUAUCGAGGCCGUCAACGCCGACAAAAAUUUGCAUAGGCAGCGAAAGAAAACCCGGUAUUCUCAGCGGAUCCUGUCGCCGAAAAAACCAACAAUAAGUUAGCCCAAAGUAGCACAACAAUACCAUCAUAAUGCCAGGUUUGUAAAUUUGAAAGGCAUUUUUUUGCAUACUGGACACAUAAAUCGUCUCGCGACAUAAUUUCCUUCGAUCGCUAUCGGAUUAUUCAAAUCGUUUUUGUCGUCGAAUUGAUAUGUAUUUGCAUCGUAAAUUAACGAGACGCAAAAAGUGAAAUAUUUAUCAUUGGCAGACUGCGAGAUAUGAUAGGAUCGAAAGAUUUGCCAGCGAUAACGCGCGCCACUCUUGCCAAGAACGAACGAACAAUUAUAAGAUUCGAGGGUGUACGCGUAACGGAAUCGAUUAAUGAGAUGCAGCAGAAUGCACGAGCGCGUUAUCAGGCCGGAACAUUCUCAAGAACCACGAAGGAAAUCGACAAGGACGCCUCGAACUCCGGGUUCAAGAUAUUUUUAGGUGGUUCGGAAAUCUCAGACCGCGUACACGUAUGCUGCCCUUUCUCUUUCAGCUGGUUACGAGGACUUUGAGGGAAAGGACAAGACGUCGACCUUGAAGUGCAGACUACAUUACCUUUUUUCUCAUCGUCAUAACGAAAAUAGUGCGAAAGGAAGAUGGUGGGCGGUAUUAAAAGUUAGAAAGAAACGCGCGGACGAACGGUUGACGACAUUCACGGAGGACCAGCUUCUUCGAUUCCAAGUUCUACGUCAGUUUUGCGUGGAUUCCAAAAUAGUAGGUAUGCGUGGAAAGUGAAACGUGCCGCGCGGCGAUACACAUACCUUGGAUUCCGUCGAACUCAGCGAAAGGGUGACGCAGAAGCUGUUUUUAAAAAUUUAUAGCGGCGCCAACCGAACGAUCGGAAUGUAAAUCGUGCCACAUCGAAAUAAACAAAAAAUUUAA
Molecule: long non-coding RNA, 1786 nt
Organism: Bombus terrestris (buff-tailed bumblebee)
Lineage: Eukaryota; Metazoa; Arthropoda; Insecta; Hymenoptera; Apidae
Exons: 2
Source: RefSeq, a predicted model, not a curated record